UAAAACGUAGACCUCAAGCGUUAUCCGGAAUCAUUGGGCGUAAAGCGUCUGUAGGCGGUCUUUUAAGUUAGAUAUUAAAUCUAAAAGCUCAACUUUUAGACUGUAUCUAAAACUGGAAGACUAGAGGGAAAGAGAGGUAAAUGGAACUUGUGGUGUAGUAGUGAAAUGUGCUAAUAUCACAAGGAACACCAAUAGCAAAGGCAGUUUACUGGCUUUUUCCUGACGUUGAGAGACGAAAGCGUGGGGAGCGAAACGGAUUAGAUACCCGUGUAGUCCACGCUGUAAACGAUGGGUACUAGAUACAGGGAGAGUCGACCCUUCCUGUUUCGAAGCUAACGCGUUAAGUACCCCGCCUGGGGAGUACGGCCGCAAGGCUA
This 377-nucleotide ribosomal RNA is filed under the name uncultured bacterium. RNAcentral's name for it is "bacterial SSU rRNA". It matches the Rfam family "Bacterial small subunit ribosomal RNA", at positions 521 to 896 of the family's 1533-position model. The record is from RNAcentral.